Molecule: small nucleolar RNA, 107 nt
Organism: Cicer arietinum (chickpea)
Lineage: Eukaryota; Viridiplantae; Streptophyta; Magnoliopsida; Fabales; Fabaceae
Source: RefSeq, a predicted model, not a curated record
AACCCAUGAUGAGGGCACAAUCUCACAAUCUCCUUGAAGCGCUCCCAAGCUUCACAAAGCGAUUCUCCAUCCUUUUGAGAAAAACUUGAAAUUGAUUUCUCAAUUGU